CGAGGUGUAGCGCAGUUGGUAGCGCGCUUGGUUUGGGACCAAGAUGCCGCAGGUUCGAAUCCUGUCACCUCGACCA
This 76-nucleotide transfer RNA is filed under the name Clostridiales bacterium. RNAcentral's name for it is "tRNA-Pro". It matches the Rfam family "tRNA". From Rfam's summary of the family: Transfer RNA (tRNA) molecules are approximately 80 nucleotides in length. Lineage: Bacteria; Bacillati; Bacillota; Clostridia; Eubacteriales. RNAcentral also lists the same sequence under 2 other names. The record is from RNAcentral.